CUGCUGCCUCCCGUAGGAGUCUGGUCCGUGUCUCAGUACCAGUGUGGGGGACCUUCCUCUCAGGACCCCUACGCAUCGUCGCCACGGUGGGCCGUUACCCCGCCGUCUAGCUAAUGCGCCGCAUGCCCAUCCUCUUCCGAUGAAUCUUUCCUCGAUCUCGGAUGCCCGAAACCGAUAUACGCGGGAUUAGCCUCCCUUUCGGAAGGUUGUCCCCCUGAAGAGGGCAGGUUGCAUACGUGUUACUCACCCGUGCGCCGGUCGCCGG
This 265-nucleotide ribosomal RNA is filed under the name uncultured bacterium. Its description in RNAcentral is "partial 16S ribosomal RNA". The record is from RNAcentral.